Molecule: transfer RNA, 73 nt
Filed under: Caudoviricetes sp.
Lineage: Duplodnaviria; Heunggongvirae; Uroviricota; Caudoviricetes
Description: tRNA-Glu
Rfam family: tRNA
About the family: Transfer RNA (tRNA) molecules are approximately 80 nucleotides in length. Their secondary structure includes four short double-helical elements and three loops (D, anti-codon, and T loops).
Source: RNAcentral
GUCCCUAUCGUCUAAUGGUUUAGGACGCGAGAUUUUCAUUCUCGAAAUUCGGGUUCGAUUCCCGGUGGGGGUA